This 291-nucleotide long non-coding RNA is filed under the name Mytilus galloprovincialis (Mediterranean mussel). Lineage: Eukaryota; Metazoa; Mollusca; Bivalvia; Mytilida; Mytilidae. The record is from RNAcentral.
AAUUGGUUUGUCAUUAGGAGCCUAUAAGGUAUUAAUUUUGCUUAUUUGUGAAGACUAUAAGGUGACAUUAACUAGAGGUCGUUGAUGGGGGAUUAUGGAAUUGAGAAUAGUGGACAAAAAAUAUAAAUAAUAGAGACAAUGGACCAAGAAAUAAAUAAAAUAGCUAGAAUAAUGGUGUUAAAAUGUAAUGAUAAGAGAAUAAUUGUCAAAAAGUAUAAAGAAUAGAGAAAUAUGGCAUAAAAUAUCAAAGAAUACAGAAAUUAAGAACCCCGAAUCCAGACCAUCAUACUA